RNAcentral lists this ribosomal RNA (254 nucleotides) under uncultured bacterium. Its description in RNAcentral is "partial 16S ribosomal RNA". It matches the Rfam family "Bacterial small subunit ribosomal RNA", at positions 524 to 776 of the family's 1533-position model. The record is from RNAcentral.
UACGUAGGUGGCAAGCGUUGUCCGGAAUUAUUGGGCGUAAAGCGCGCGCAGGCGGCCUCUUAAGUCAGAUGUGAAAGCCCCGGGCUCAACCUGGGAAUGGCAUUUGAGACUGCUCUGCUCGGGUGCGGAAGAGGGAAGCGGAAUUUCCGGUGUAGCGGUGAAAUGCGUAGAUAUCGGAAGGAACACCAGUGGCGAAAGCGGCUUCCUGGUCCGACACCGACGGUUCAGGCACGAAAGCGUGGGGAGCAAACAGG